This 4919-nucleotide long non-coding RNA is filed under the name Homo sapiens (human). The record is from RNAcentral. Lineage: Eukaryota; Metazoa; Chordata; Mammalia; Primates; Hominidae.
CUGUCUAUCUACCCAAACGCCCAUGUCAGAAAUGCCCUCCGGUGCUUCCAUGUAGAAGGGAGAGAAGCACUUUUACAUUUUAGUUCUGCUUGUUAUUUGGAAGUUAUUUUAAAGGUCAUUGAAGUGGGCUUUUUGUUGUUGUUGUUGUUAACAGACAGCUGUUUCCAGCCACUGCUAUGAACCCAUCUAAGUGAAAUUGUGAGGACUAAGGAGAGAGGCACCCAUGACUGCCUUAAUCCACUCCUACCCAUCGUCUCUUCACCCAUCCACCCAUCCUUGCUGCAGACCUUUACUGGGCACCUGUGCCAGGAGACCAUCACUGCCCAUCAGAAGCUCAUACAGGGAGAAGCAGUGGCCACAGCAGAAGGCGUCCCGGGUCCUAGAGAGCACCUGGAGAACAAGGGAGAGCUGCAGAAACCGCCCUGUCUGCAUGUGUGCCCUCAUGUUCUUGGGUGCAUGUCUGUGUUUGUGUGUGUGUUUGCUUAUGUGCAUGUGCAGUGUGUGUGUGUUCGAGACAGAGCGAGACUGAGAGUGCAAGUGGGUGUAAGCACACACACCCACCCGUCAGCCCUGCCUGUCUGCUCAGAGUUUUGCCUGUCACCCGGCCACGCCCUGUGACCCCCCUCCUCGGCUGGGUGCAGCCAGGACACCUGUUGCCAGCUGCGAGCACCUGCCUGGUUGCUGCGCCCGUGUCCUGUGCAUGUUCCAAGCCAGCCCCCUGGGGUAAUCCAGGCCAUGACUCAGGAACGUCAUGUUGGGACACCCGAGACCCCCAGCCCCUGCCCUAGGGGUCAGGGCAGCAGGUCCCAUCUCCCUUAGCUGGGCUGGGCCCAGGCAGCCUGUAUCACUGUUUGCUCCAGAGGCUGGGUGCGUCCUGCUUGGGGGCUGUGUGAGGCCCGCUUGUUUUCACCCACAGAUUCCCAGGGUUCUCAAGGCAGAGGAAAGCGACAAUUAGGGCAACACCCAUGUUGGUUGGAUCAGAGUGAAUCCCAGGCCUGCUUGGGAGGCUUUAGGCACUCAGCUCGGCCAUCUCUGAGGGUAAGGGCAUGUCAGCCACUCUGCUGGGGCAUCUCUGUGCUCAGCACCAUGUGGGCUCAUCACAGACACAAGAGUGCGUCCUCUCAGAGGGAAUGGUCUGGCAGGUUUUGCCUGUUUUCCUGCUCACAGGUUGAAUUUCUUGGCCAGCAUCCCAUAGCCAGGCCAGAGCGGAGCAGGGCUGCCUGCUGCACCCAGUGGCUUCUUGUCAAUCUCGGCCUCUCGUUCCCUGCCUGGGAGAGGGUCUCAGUGUGAAGGGCAGAGGGGUCUUCUGGAACCAGCCAGUGCUGUGUCGGAGAGAAAGACCAGGAGGAAAUUGGAGGGGUACAGGCCUGAAACUCUCCCGCUGCCUUGCCAGGCACCCAAACCUGCUUGACCUGAGUGUCUUUCCGGCGGCGGGUGGGGGGGAGGGGGGUGGGGCGUGCUGCAUCGCUUACUUUGCCUGUGUCUUAGGGGAGCCUACCCAUUGCCCUCCAGCACCGGCGAACAAAGACCCCCACGGUGGCCAGGCCUGUGCGGGGUGUAAACAGUGUCCCAGGGUGUCUUGGUGUCCUCACUACUACAUCCUCCACGUUCCAGAGGAGAAACUGAGGCCCGAGGACACCCAGAAUUUCCCAGGGUCACACCAAGGGGAAACAGGUGACGUUGAAGUGGACACAGGGUGAUGAGAGGGGUGCAGAAAAGGAGAUACCCUGGCAUGCCAAGCCUGGGGCUGGUUGUCCACAUCCAGGAAGGUCCCUGCAAGGUUGUGGCACCUUUUCAUGGCAAGCAGACGCAGCACCAUGAAUACCCACAGCCACUCCUAAGGGCCCCUUCAUGCGGUGGCUGUGCCCAGCACUGGGCACGCAGGAACCAAGGCCCAGAGAGUUCUGGGUGGGUGGGGAGAGCUAGAGCCUUCCUUCUGGGCUCCAGGGCUUUUCAGUAGCACCACUGGCUUUCUAGAAGGUUGCUGUGUGAUUGGAAACUUGUGCUUUGAGAUACGAUUAUCUGUGUGGGGAGGAGGUUGUACUGGAGUCAGCAGUGAGGGGUGGCAGCACUAGGCCAGAAAUGGAUGUGGGGUCCUCUUGCGUGGAGCUGCCACUCCCCCAGCCACUCUGUCCUUACAACCAAAACCCCAAAAGGGGGCUGAGCCGGCCCUUGUGAGUGAGAGUAGAGGAGAAGGAAGGGGCUGUGGGGGGAGAGAAGCACAUGGAGCUGGCCCACGUGGAGAGAGGGACCCUGGGUGGCAGGGUGGCGUUGGGGGAGAUUUGCCAUCAGAGUGACCUUAGUGACUGUGCCACCUCGACCCUGACCUGGGCAAUGCCUGUGAGGGCACUGGGGCCCAAGGUCCCAGAGGAGCAGGGGAACUAAGAUGUGGCUCUCACAGAACCUCAAAUGUAUCUCCAGACAUCCACAUAUCUGCACCUGACACACAUUUCUGGAACAGCUACUUGGCCAAGCACCACCAGUUUGUCUCUAUGCCCCUCUUGCUGGGGAGCCCAGUCUGGGGCAAAGGAAGGCACAGGGGCAUCCGCUCCAGGCUUUCCAGAAUAGGCAGAACACAGAAGGGGUGCCCGCCGGACACGCGGAGGGAGGAGAUGAGAAGAGUCCCCAGCGCCAGAAGGGGUGGAGACGGCCUUGCUGGGGCAGGGCCACAGGUCACCUGCUGCUGGGCUCUGGCUGCAGUGGGAAACAACCAAAGUUUUAAAAAGAGGGUGAACCUCUUAGGAAAGGAAAUGACAUUUAUAAAGAGGUAGGGACGUGGGGGCAGGGAUGAUGGCCUUGGUGGCCACAGCUCUUAAACCAGUGGGGAGGAGGCAGCCACGCCAGCAUGGUGAGAUCCAAGCCGCAGUGACGGGGCUGCACUCGCUCCAGGUAGAUUGCUCAAAUGGAAGCUUCUGGAUGGAUAACUAAGGCAGCACAACCCCCAGUCAUUGUCUGAGGGCCACCCUGGGGGAUGGAGCGAGUGCAGGCCAAGUGGAUGCAGGGCCCACGGCCAGUUUCCAGGGUGAGCUGCAGGGCAAGCCGUGGGAAGCCCCAGAGGCAGACGCUGAGGGAUGGGCACCCCAAGAGAGUCCAGGGAUCCGAGGCCACCUGGGUGGAGCCCGGACAGCGUCUACUCCAGGGAGCAAAGCUGAGGCAGGAGCCGAGGGCUUUCCAGUGGAUGUGGAGACUUCGGCUUACUCCCGCACUGACUUUAUCCCAUUUCUGAGCCUGUCGGCACGUGUAGAGCAUUUUGGGCUCAGUUUCUCUAGAGACUAACUGUGGCCUCCCAUGGGGUGGGGACAGGACAGUCUCCCGGCUGCAUGGAAUGGGAUGCCGACCGAGGGACGGGCUCUCUCUUAAAGACUUGCCACCACACCUCUCUUGUCCAUGCCAGGCUUCUGGGGUCCCCUCUGCUGCAGGUGCUUCGGGAGUCUCAGUGGUUCUUCAGGGCAAAGCUGGCCCUGACCGUGUGCUGCAUGCCCGGAGGUCUGACAUCGGUGCUGCUGAGUGGCCUGCCGUGGUUCUCUUGGUUUCCCAUCUUGCAAAGAGUCGGUGAACUCUCACCUGCUCUUGUCUCCUCGUCUCUGUGCCCUGUCCUCCUGCGGGGCUUGGGAAACCAUAGGUGAUAAACACAUGAGCCAAUCUGCCAUCUCCACUGGAGCCAAUGCUCUUUCUGUGUUCCCAUUGGCCUGCCUAGGACUGAGGUCAGCUCCAGGGUCAGAGGCAGGACUGGAGUUGGGUUCUAACUGAGGCAGAGACAGGGCUUGGGAGAAGAAAUCAAGGUGGAGGGCAGAGGCUCCAGGUCUUUGCCAGGCUCACCUCAGAAGUGGGUGUGUCAGGCUGUCCAGAGUGGAGUGCACAGAAGCUGGGGCUUUGACAAGGGCAGGGUGACCAGUCCAGGCUGGCCUCAAAGGCAAGAGCUUGACUGCAGGGCCAGCAGGCGUGUGAUGUGGGUGGGCCCUAAGGAGGCUGAGGGAGAGGAUAAACUGUGAAGAGCCAGCAGCCCAGAAGCUAAAUGCAGGGAGGCAGAGAAGACAGGAGAGAUGGAGGCUUGCAGGACCUGGUGGUUGGGGAGGGCCAGUGACCAGGUGUUUAGAAGCAGCACCUCCUGUGAUUGGGGCUGAGGGUGAACUCUGCUUUCAAGCAGAGGUGGUUUGUCGUGGGUCUUCCAUGAUGACACCAGGUCAAGGUAGGCUGUUAGCACUGAGGCCUGUGGGAAGGCGAGGCCCGUGGGCAGAGUCCCAGAAUGGGAGGAAAAUGAAGACAGCCACUGCAGGGACUUGGGUGUCAUUCUGAAGGAAGCCACUUAAUGGUAAAUGGAGCAACAACAUGGUAGCCUUUCCUCUGGGGGAGCCCAGAGACAAGGGGGGUCUGGGGAGGCAGGCAGGCAGGCAGGCAGGUCAGGCCAGGGAGGGGCUGUGCCCAGCAGGGAAUGGAUGGCACACUCCCUCCCAGAAAGGCUGCUGCAGGGCUCAGCACUCUGAACCUUAAAAGGUUUACCCAACAGAGCCUCCAGAUGCUCAGAGUCUUGCAGGCUCAGAACAAGAAUUGUCAACUUGCCAAGAUGAAUCUGUCUCUCGGGGGAGGACCCACACAGAACAAACGUUUGAAGCAGAAGUUUGCUUGGUAAACAUGGAAUCGGAACAUGGGAAUUGGGCCACUGGGAUAUUCAAUUGCGUCAGACCAUUGUAGCUGAUACUCCUGGACAGAGGGGCUUUGCCAACUGGACAGAUAUAUGAAGUGUUGCUGACCGAGCUCCUUGCUCUGUGUGGGAGGGAUCUUGCCAGCUCCAGCCUUGGUGGGUCUCCUUUUUCUGUUUCCAAGCUUAAAUAAGCACUUGGCUGUUCUGAUUAGCACUUUUAAAAGCUGUGUUAAUAAGUUCAAUUAAAAUAGAAGAAUCUCUCAUUCUGUCAUAUCGG